This is a non-coding RNA of Amphibacillus xylanus NBRC 15112, 175 nucleotides long. Lineage: Bacteria; Bacillati; Bacillota; Bacilli; Caryophanales; Bacillaceae. The record is from Rfam.
AUGACAAGUGACCGUCAUAUCUGAAGGAAGUCGGCGGCAAACCUCCGCUCCGAGGAACACGAACCUCAUAUAAGGCUAAGUAAUACUGGAUGAGUUUGCAACACAAAACAAAGUCCUUACUGUCAAAGGUAUUAUAGAGUAAAUGAGGCGGGGACAUGGAGGGAAAGUCUGUACC